Long non-coding RNA from Glossina fuscipes, 443 nucleotides. RefSeq lists it as uncharacterized. NCBI's taxonomy places the organism in Eukaryota, Metazoa, Arthropoda, Insecta, Diptera, Glossinidae. The record is from RefSeq and is a predicted model, not a curated record. The transcript has 3 exons.
UCCAAAAUCGUUAAAAUAAACUCGCUUUUAGCAAAACGGUGGCGUUAACCAUUAAAGAGAUUCGCAAAUUGGGUGAGAAGGAAAUGGUCACUUAGCUUACCACCAGUGGAGUAGCGCGGCCUAGGCUGCUUGGGCGAUUCAUCGCCACGCCUUGCUAAAUAUAAUCGAUUUAUUCAAUUUAUAAACAACGAUUAGAAGUAUAGCGGAAAUUUUAAUAUGGAAAUAUCAACAUGACAGUUCGGUUUUCGACUUUAUCCUAGAGAAAAAUAUGAAUGGAAAAGAGAUGAACUAUGGUGACCGUUUCACCUUUUACUGCUUUGCGAAAUUCAGCUAAAAUCGUGUAAAAUUCUCUUCUGAGAUCCCUUUUUCAUUUAGCCUUAUAAAGCUAACAUGCAAUUGACGCAUUUAUGUGAAUGUUAAAAUCGUAUCUGUUGCAAUGAGAG